AGGGGGAAUCACGUCGUCUCAUCUUUAGAUGUGAGGGGUGUGUCAAGAGAUGAUGGCUCCCAAAACACGCAUACUGCUCUUGCUUCUUGUGUCUAGUAUAGCCAUCAUGCCCGUUUUGGCCUCGAGGGAACUUAUUGUUCAAAACGCUCAGCAAAAGGCAAAGGUGGUGGGCAACGAGAACAUCAAUACAAAUACAAGUGGGGCAAAGAGGAUGCUCGACUCCUACAGCGACCCAGUGUAUCCUGCUCCCGGUGAAUAUCCCCAACUACCAGGGUGCCCACCAACCUGUAACCCCUGAAAACCAUAGAGGAAGAGUGGGGUCGUCUGCUUGCUUAGUGCGAACAUCAAAUCUGCAAGGCUCGCACAUAAUUAAUUGGUCUUCUAUAAAUGGAUUGGCGAGGUUCUUCUUUCAAGUACCUAGGUUGAUGCAAGCUUUCUACUUCGCUGGUUAUCAAAAUAGUAAAUAAGAUGCUAAAGCUAACGCAUUACGUCGAUGUGUUAGACAUGCUAGCUACCUGUGUUGUGAGUGUGAUGUAUUCGCUCUAUUAAUGGACCAAUCUUUAUGUAUCCUACAAGUGCUAAUUUAUUGGCUUUUAUAGUGCUUGUA
Molecule: non-coding RNA, 607 nt
Organism: Phoenix dactylifera (date palm)
Lineage: Eukaryota; Viridiplantae; Streptophyta; Magnoliopsida; Arecales; Arecaceae
Source: RefSeq, a predicted model, not a curated record